GGUCAAGUUACAAAGGGCUCACGGCGGAUACCUUGGCACACAGAGGCGAUGAAGGACGUGGUUACCUGCGAUAAGUCUCGGGGAGCUGGAAACACGCUUUGAUCCGGGAAUUUCCGAAUGAGGCAACCCUUAAUACGGCCAGCUGAAUCCAUAGGCUGGCACGAGCCGACCCGGCGAACUGAAACAUCUUAGUAGCCGGAGAA
RNAcentral lists this ribosomal RNA (203 nucleotides) under uncultured cyanobacterium. RNAcentral describes it as "partial 23S ribosomal RNA". It matches the Rfam family "Bacterial large subunit ribosomal RNA", at positions 1 to 217 of the family's 2925-position model. Lineage: Bacteria; Bacillati; Cyanobacteriota. The record is from RNAcentral.